Molecule: ribosomal RNA, 392 nt
Filed under: Gymnocanthus tricuspis (Arctic staghorn sculpin)
Lineage: Eukaryota; Metazoa; Chordata; Actinopteri; Perciformes; Cottidae
Description: partial 12S ribosomal RNA
Rfam family: Bacterial small subunit ribosomal RNA
Source: RNAcentral
GCCUGUUCUAGAACCGAUAACCCCCGUUCAACCUCACCCUUCCUUGUUUAACCCGCCUAUAUACCGCCGUCGUCAGCUUACCCUGUGAAGGAUUAAUAGUAAGCAAAACUGGUACAACCUAAAACGUCAGGUCGAGGUGUAGCGUAUGGAGGGGGAAGAAAUGGGCUACAUUCGCUAUUACAGCGAACACGAAUGAUGUACUGAAACGUAUAUCUGAAGGAGGAUUUAGCAGUAAGCAGGAAAUAGAGCGUCCCGCUGAAACUGGCCCUGAAGCGCGCACACACCGCCCGUCACUCUCCCCAAAAACACCAGCCAAUUAACUAAAACCUAAUAAUUAAAAAGGGGAGGCAAGUCGUAACAUGGUAAGUGUACCGGAAGGUGCGCUUGGAAAA